Molecule: ribosomal RNA, 950 nt
Filed under: uncultured bacterium
Lineage: Bacteria
Description: bacterial SSU rRNA
Rfam family: Bacterial small subunit ribosomal RNA
Source: RNAcentral
GGAUUAGGCAUGCAAGUCGAACGGUAGUACCCCUUCGGGGGUAUGAGAGUGGCGAACGGGUGAGUAACGCGUAGGUGAUCCACCUUCAGAUGGGGGACGACCCAGGGAAACUUGGGCUAAUACCGCAUGUGGCUGUAAAGCUAAAGCCGGCCUCUAUUUAUAAGCUGGUGUCUGGAGAUGAGCCUGCGUCUGAUUAGCUAGUUGGUGGGGUAACGGCCUACCGAGGCGAUGAUAAGUAGGCGGCUUUAACGAGUGGUCGCCCACACUGGGAUUGAGAUACGGCCCAGACUCCUACGGGAGGCAGCAGUCGAGGAUAGUCUACAAUGGUCGAGAGAUUGAUAGUGCGACGCCGCGUGAACGAAGAAGCAUUUCGGUGUGUAAAGUUCUUUUCUAUGGGAGCAGUGCUUUUUAUAUGAACAAUAUGAGAAGAGAGAUAUUACUAUAGGAAUAAGCCACGGCUAACUCCGUGCCAGCAGCCGCGGUAAUACGGGGGUGGCGAGCGUUGUCCGGAAUUACUAGGCGUAAAGGGCAGGUAGGCGGUUGUAUAAGUUAAUUGUUAAAGGCCCAUGCUCACCAUGGGUAGGGCAGUUGAUACUGUAUGACUGGAAGCGAGUGGGGGAAGACGGAAUUCCCGGUGUAGCGGUGGAAUGCGCAGAUAUCGGGAGGAACACCAAAGGCGCAGGCAGUCUUCUACGCUUGUCUUGACGCUAAACUGCGAAGGUGCGGGUAUCAAACAGGAUUAGAUACCCUGGUAGUCCGCACAGUAAACGAUAAUCACUAGGUGUCGGUGGGAUAGACCUGUCGGUGCCGUAGCUAACGCGAUAAGUGAUUCGCCUGGGGAGUACGAUCGCAAGGUUGAAACUCAAAGGAAAUGAACGGGGGCCCGCCACAAGCGGUGGAGCAUGUGGUUUAAUUCGAUGCAACGCCAAAAACCUUACCUGGGCUUUGAA